This 253-nucleotide ribosomal RNA is filed under the name uncultured bacterium. RNAcentral describes it as "partial 16S ribosomal RNA". It matches the Rfam family "Bacterial small subunit ribosomal RNA", at positions 524 to 776 of the family's 1533-position model. The record is from RNAcentral.
UACGUAGGGUGCGAGCGUUGUCCGGAAUUAUUGGGCGUAAAGGGCUCGUAGGCGGUCUGUUGCGUCGGGAGUGAAAACUCAGGGCUUAACCCUGAGCCUGCUUCCGAUACGGGCAGACUAGAGGUAUGCAGGGGAGAACGGAAUUCCUGGUGUAGCGGUGAAAUGCGCAGAUAUCAGGAGGAACACCGGUGGCGAAGGCGGUUCUCUGGGCAACAACUGACGCUGAGGAGCGAAAGCGUGGGGAGCGAACAGG